GGGGCUGUGGCCUAGUGGAAGAGCCUCUGUUUUGCAUGCGGAAAGUCCCAAGUUCAAUCCCUGCCAUCUCCA
Molecule: transfer RNA, 72 nt
Filed under: Sphaerodactylus townsendi
Lineage: Eukaryota; Metazoa; Chordata; Lepidosauria; Squamata; Sphaerodactylidae
Description: tRNA-Ala
Rfam family: tRNA
About the family: Transfer RNA (tRNA) molecules are approximately 80 nucleotides in length.
Source: RNAcentral